This 280-nucleotide unclassified non-coding RNA is filed under the name Dacryodes rostrata. RNAcentral describes it as "partial external transcribed spacer". The record is from RNAcentral. Lineage: Eukaryota; Viridiplantae; Streptophyta; Magnoliopsida; Sapindales; Burseraceae.
AAUCCAAUGGUUCUUUUUGUUUCUCUUCGCCCUAGGCCCGCACGGGUGGUGGGGUGGACAUUAGGCAAGCCUCUUGUUCCUGGCAUGCCGUGUCGAGUUACGUGGCUGCCUUGGUCCCAUGAGGUUAUCUGCCUGUGCUUUCGGAUGCAGAAUGUUAUGUGCUGCGGUGGGUGCUCUCUCGGAGGCCUCCAUCUAAUCAAGCAAUGCAUUUUGUUAGUGCCAAGAACUACCGAUGCACCCGUCUUUGGGCCCCCGGCCUCAUAGCUCGGCAGGGCUCAUG